This 253-nucleotide ribosomal RNA is filed under the name uncultured bacterium. RNAcentral describes it as "partial 16S ribosomal RNA". It matches the Rfam family "Bacterial small subunit ribosomal RNA", at positions 524 to 776 of the family's 1533-position model. The record is from RNAcentral.
UACAGAGGUCUCAAGCGUUGUUCGGAUUCAUUGGGCGUAAAGGGUGCGUAGGCGGCGCGGUAAGUCGGGUGUGAAAUCUCGGAGCUUAACUCCGAAACUGCAUUCGAUACUGCCGUGCUUGAGGACUGGAGAGGAGAGUGGAAUUCCCGGUGUAGCAGUGAAAUGCGUAGAGAUCGGGAGGAACAUCAGUUGCGAAGGCGGCUCUCUGGACCAGCACUGACACUGAGGCACGAAAGCGUGGGGAGCAAACAGG